Molecule: ribosomal RNA, 449 nt
Filed under: uncultured bacterium
Lineage: Bacteria
Description: partial 16S ribosomal RNA
Rfam family: Bacterial small subunit ribosomal RNA
Source: RNAcentral
AACGAACGCUGGCGGCAGGCUUAACACAUGCAAGUCGAGCGAAGCCUUCGGGCUUAGCGGCGGACGGGUGAGUAACGCGUGGGAACGUGCCCUUUGGUACGGAAUAGCCCCGGGAAACUGGGAGUAAUACCGUAUGUGCCCUUCGGGGGAAAGAUUUAUCGCCAAAGGAUCGGCCCGCGUUGGAUUAGGUAGUUGGCGGGGUAAUGGCCUACCAAGCCGACGAUCCAUAGCUGGUUUGAGAGGAUGAUCAGCCACACUGGGACUGAGACACGGCCCAGACUCCUACGGGAGGUAGCAGUGGGGAAUCUUAGACAAUGGGGGAAACCCUGAUCUAGCCAUGCCGCGUGAUCGAUGAAGGCCCUAGGGUUGUAAAGAUCUUUCAGUGGGGAAGAUAAUGACUGUACCCACAGAAGAAGCCCCGGCUAACUCCGUGCCAGCCGCCGCGGUAA